AAUUUUUCAUAGUUCUUUUAAAAUUUUUCUAACAGGAUUUCUGCUUGGUCAAAAAUCCCAA
Small nuclear RNA from Rattus norvegicus (Norway rat), 61 nucleotides. Ensembl annotates it as U7 small nuclear RNA. The record is from Ensembl. NCBI's taxonomy places the organism in Eukaryota, Metazoa, Chordata, Mammalia, Rodentia, Muridae.